Molecule: ribosomal RNA, 468 nt
Filed under: uncultured bacterium
Lineage: Bacteria
Description: partial 16S ribosomal RNA
Rfam family: Bacterial small subunit ribosomal RNA
Source: RNAcentral
GACGAACGCUGGCGGCGUGCUUAACACAUGCAAGUCGAACGGAAAGGCCCUGCUUUUGUGGGGUGCUCGAGUGGCGAACGGGUGAGUAACACGUGAGUAACCUGCCCUUGACUUUGGGAUAACUUCAGGAAACUGGGGCUAAUACCGGAUAGGAGCUCCUGCUGCAUGGUGGGGGUUGGAAAGUUUCGGCGGUUGGGGAUGGAAUCGCGGCUUAUCAGCUUGUUGGUGGGGUAGUGGCGUACCAAGGCUUUGACGGGUAGCCGGCCUGAGAGGGUGACCGGCCACAUUGGGCCUGCGAUACGGCCCAGACUCCUACGGGAGGCAGCAGUGGGGAAUAUUGCACAAUGGGCGGAAGCCUGAUGCAGCAACGCCGCGUGCGGGAUGACGGCCUUCGGGUUGUAAACCGCUUUCGCCUGUGACGAAGCGUGAGUGACGGUAAUGGGUAAAGAAGCACCGGCUAACUACGUG